RNAcentral lists this ribosomal RNA (310 nucleotides) under uncultured bacterium. RNAcentral describes it as "bacterial SSU rRNA". It matches the Rfam family "Bacterial small subunit ribosomal RNA", at positions 30 to 334 of the family's 1533-position model. The record is from RNAcentral.
AUUGGACGCUGGCGGCAUGCCUAACACAUGCAAGUCGAACGGCAGCAUGGUCUGGUUUACCAGACUGAUGGCGAGUGGCGAACGGGUGAGUAACGCGUAGGAAUAUGCCUUAAAGAGGGGGACAACUUGGGGAAACUCAAGCUAAUACCGCAUACACUCUGAGGAGAAAAGCUAGGGACCUAUUGGCCUGGCGCUUUAAGAAUAGCCUGCGUCCGAUUAGCUAGUUGGUGAGGUAAAGGCUUACCAAGGCGACGAUCGGUAGCUGGUCUGAGAGGACGGACAGCCACACUGGAACUGAGACACGGUCCAG